CAGCCGCCGCGGGAAUACGAAGGGGGCUAGCGUUGUUCGGAUUUACUGGGCGUAAAGCGCACGUAGGCGGAUCGAUCAGUCAGGGGUGAAAUCCCAGAGCUCAACUCUGGAACUGCCUUUGAUACUGUCGAUCUGGAGUAUGGAAGAGGUGAGUGGAAUUCCGAGUGUAGAGGUGAAAUUCGUAGAUAUUCGGAGGAACACCAGUGGCGAAGGCGGCUCACUGGUCCAUUACUGACGCUCAUGCACGAAAGCGUGGGGAGCAAACAGGAUUAGAUACCCCGGUAGUCCCUGUCUCUUAUAC
Molecule: ribosomal RNA, 301 nt
Filed under: uncultured bacterium
Lineage: Bacteria
Description: partial 16S ribosomal RNA
Rfam family: Bacterial small subunit ribosomal RNA
Source: RNAcentral